Molecule: long non-coding RNA, 164 nt
Organism: Capsicum annuum
Lineage: Eukaryota; Viridiplantae; Streptophyta; Magnoliopsida; Solanales; Solanaceae
Exons: 3
Source: RefSeq, a predicted model, not a curated record
AUGAAUGUCGGUUGACUUUGAGGAUUUUUUUAAGAUUGAUCGAAGGAACUCAUCCUCAUUGCUCCAGGUGACGAGUUUGGUAUUCCAACAAGAAGUACUAGAGCACAAGUGACGUUGGUGAGGAUCUCUUUAGCUAGAGGGUUCGAGUUGGCAUAUUCCCGGUA